This 253-nucleotide ribosomal RNA is filed under the name uncultured bacterium. Its description in RNAcentral is "partial 16S ribosomal RNA". It matches the Rfam family "Bacterial small subunit ribosomal RNA", at positions 524 to 776 of the family's 1533-position model. The record is from RNAcentral.
UACAGAGGGUGCAAGCGUUGUUCGGAAUUAUUGGGCGUAAAGGGAGUGUAGGCGGUUCGUUAAGUCUUCUGUGAAAUCUACGGGCUUAGCCUGUAACGUGCAGAGGAAACUAGCGGGCUUGAGUGUCGGAGAGGAUAGGGGAAUUCCCGGUGUAGAGGUGAAAUUCGUAGAGAUCGGGAGGAACACCAGUGGCGAAGGCGCCUAUCUGGCUGACAACUGACGCUGAGACUCGAAAGCAUGGGGAGCAAACAGG